Molecule: transfer RNA, 62 nt
Filed under: Fasciolopsis buskii
Lineage: Eukaryota; Metazoa; Platyhelminthes; Trematoda; Plagiorchiida; Fasciolidae
Description: Fasciolopsis buski tRNA-Leu
Source: RNAcentral
CUGGGGUGCCAGAAAUAGAUGGGUAGGAUUUAGGAUUCUGUUAUGAUGGUGUCGUCCCUCAG